Molecule: ribosomal RNA, 253 nt
Filed under: uncultured bacterium
Lineage: Bacteria
Description: partial 16S ribosomal RNA
Rfam family: Bacterial small subunit ribosomal RNA
Source: RNAcentral
GACGUAGGGCGCGAGCGUUGUCCGGAUUUAUUGGGCGUAAAGAGCUCGUAGGCGGCUUGUUGCGUCUGCCGUGAAAGCCCGUGGCUUAACUGCGGGUCUGCGGUGGAUACGGGCAGGCUAGAGGCUGGUAGGGGCAAGCGGAAUUCCUGGUGUAGCGGUGAAAUGCGCAGAUAUCAGGAGGAACACCGGUGGCGAAGGCGGCCAACUGGUCCGGAUCUGACGCUGAGGCGCGAAAGCGUGGGGAGCAAACAGG